UACGGAGGUGGCAAGCGUUGUUCGGAAUUACUGGGCGUAAAGGGCGCGUAGGCGGCUAGGCAAGUCAGGUGUGAAAGCCCCGGGCUUAACUCGGGAAUUGCACCUGAAACUGCCUUGCUUGAGUCCUGGAGGGGGUAGCGGAAUUCCCAGUGUAGCGGUGAAAUGCGUAGAUAUUGGGAGGAACACCUGCGGCGAAGGCGGCUACCUGGACAGUGACUGACGCUGAGGCGCGAAAGCUAGGGUAGCGAACGGGAUUAGAUACC
RNAcentral lists this ribosomal RNA (263 nucleotides) under uncultured bacterium. RNAcentral's name for it is "partial 16S ribosomal RNA". It matches the Rfam family "Bacterial small subunit ribosomal RNA", at positions 524 to 786 of the family's 1533-position model. The record is from RNAcentral.